CCUACGGGAGGCUGCAGUGAGGAAUAUUGGUCAAUGGACGGAAGUCUGAACCAGCCAUGCCGCGUGCAGGAAGACGGCUCUAUGAUUUGUAAACUGCUUUUGUACAAGGGUAAACCUGAAUACGUGUAUUUAGCUGAAAGUACUGUACGAAUAAGGAUCGGCUAACUCCGUGCCAGCAGCCGCGGUAAUACGGAGAAUCAAAGCGUUAUCCGGAUUUAUUGGGUUUAAAGGGUGCGUAGGCGGAUUGAUAAGUUAGAGGUGAAAUGUCCGAGCUUAAAUUGGGAACUGCCUGUAAUAGUGGUGAUCUAGAGAGUAGAUGCGGUAGGCGGAAUGUAUGGGGUAGCGGUGAAAUGCUGAGAGAUCAUACAGAACACCGAUUGCGAAGGCAGCUUACCAAUCUAUAUCUGACGUUGAGGCACGAAAGCGUGGGGAGCAAACAGGAUUAGAUACCCUAGUAGUC
RNAcentral lists this ribosomal RNA (460 nucleotides) under uncultured bacterium. Its description in RNAcentral is "partial 16S ribosomal RNA". It matches the Rfam family "Bacterial small subunit ribosomal RNA", at positions 338 to 795 of the family's 1533-position model. The record is from RNAcentral.